RNAcentral lists this non-coding RNA (21 nucleotides) under Arabidopsis thaliana (thale cress). Lineage: Eukaryota; Viridiplantae; Streptophyta; Magnoliopsida; Brassicales; Brassicaceae. The record is from RNAcentral.
AACAACUGGUGUGCAUUCUCA